UUUCAAGCUACAAAGAGCCAACGGUGAAUGCCUUGGCACGUACUACCGAAGAAGGACGCGAUCGGCUGCGAUAAGCCACGGCGAGCUGCCUAAUAAGCUAUGACCCGUGGAUGUCCGAAUGGGGAAACCCAGCACCCGUCAUGGGGUGUUACUCCCGCCUGAAUAUAUAGGGCGGGUAGAGGGAACUCGGUGAACUGAAACAUCUCAGUAACCGGAGGAAAGAAAAACAACCGUGACCCCCCUAGUAGCGGCGAGCGAACGGGGGUGAGCCUAAACCGACAUAGUGGAAAGCCUAGCGGCGUUGCUAUGUCGGGGUCGUGGGACCUAAGGGCAGGUGCGCUAGAACCUGCAAAGAGUUACAAAUCUUGUUGUUAGUAGAACCGUACUGGAAAGACGGGCCGUAGAGGGUAAUAGCCCCGUAAACGAAAGCUUCAAGACUCUUAUUAGUGUUCCCGAGUAGCACCAUUGACGUGGAAUUUGGUGUGAAUCCGCGAGGCCCACCUCGUAAGGCUAAGUAUACGUACGUGACCGAUAGUGAACUAGUACCGUGAGGGAAAGGUGAAAAGUACCCCGGGAGGGGAGUGAAAUAGUACCUGAAACCGUUGGUUUACAAGCAGUCAAAGAGUCGUUUAGGACUUGUCCUAAGCCUCGAUGGCGUGCCUUUUGAAGAAUGAGCCUACGAGUUAUGGUGUGUGGCAAGGUUAACCCGUGAGGGGAAGCCGGAGCGAAAGCGAGUCUGAAUAGGGCGCAUAGUCGCAUGCUGUAGACCCGAAGCCGUGUGAUCUAUCCAUGGGCAGUGUGAAGCGAGGGUAAGACCUCGUGGAGGCGCGAACCGACCUAGGUUGAAAACUGGGCGGAUGACCUGUGGAUAGGGGUGAAAGGCCAAUCAAACACGGUGAUAGCUGGUUCUCUGCGAAAUGCAUUUAGGUGCAGCGUUGCGUGUUCAGUACUGGAGGUAGAGCACUGGAUGGAUUAGGGGGCCCACAAGCUUACCGACUUCAGCCAAACUCCGAAUGCCAGUACUCCAGAGCGCAGCAGUGAGACCCCGGGGGAUGAGCUUCGGGGUCGAGAGGGAAACAGCCCAGAUCGCCGGCUAAGGUCCCAAAGUGUGUGUUAAGUGGUAAACGAUGUGGGUUCGCAUAGACAGCCAGGAGGUUGGCUUAGAAGCAGCCACCCUUGAAAGAGUGCGUAACAGCUCACUGGUCGAGUGAACCUGCGCGGACAAUGUAACGGGGCUAAAACACACCACCGAAGCCGCGGAUGCCGCAUUGCCUACGGGUAAUGGGGUGUGGUAGCAGAGCGUCGAUCUUGCUGUGAAGCAGCUGCGGAAGCAGUUGUGGAGCGUGGUCGAGUGCGAAUGUAGGCAUGAGUAGCGAGAGAGGGGUGAGAAACCCUUCCACCGAAAGCCCAAGGGUUCCUGGGGAAGGCUAUUCCUCCCAGGGUGAGUCGGGACCUAAGGCGAGGCCGAAAGGCGUAGUCGAUGGAUAACUGGUUGAUAUUCCAGUACCGCUGAGAGCGCGUCCAGGCUUAACCGAAGUUGCUAACUGGAUGUCCGGAUCCUUAGGGAGCCGGAAGGAAAGGACCCACUUUGGAGCGGCCAGCAAUGCAGGGACGAAGAAUGGUAGGUGAACCCAGGCGAUGGUUGUCCUGGGGUAAGUGCUUAGGCCGGGGCAUAGGUAAAUCCGUUCCCCGUUAAGGCUGAAACACGAUGCCGAGUCGAAUACGACGAAGUCAUUGAUCCACUACUUCCAAGAAAAUCUGCUAGCGAGCUCUCUUAGCGCCCGUACCCCAAACCAACACAGGUGGGCAGGUAGAGAAUACUAAGGUGUAUGAGAUAACCAUGGUUAAGGAACUCGGCAAAUUGCAUCCGUAACUUCGGGAUAAGGAUGACCUCAUGGGUUUAUAGCCUAAUGAGGUGGCACAAACUAGGGGGGAGCGACUGUUUACUAAAAACACAGCAGGGUGCUAAGUCGUAAGACGAUGUAUACCCUGUGACGCCUGCCCGGUGCUGGAAGGUUACGGGGACCGGUUAGCUGUAAAGCGAAGCUGUGAACCUAAGCCCCAGUAAACGGCGGCCGUAACUAUAACGGUCCUAAGGUAGCGAAAUUCCUUGUCGGGUAAGUUCCGACCUGCACGAAUGGCGUAACGACUCCCCUACUGUCUCAACCAUGGACUCAGCGAAAUUGAAGUACGAGUAAAGAUGCUCGUUAGCUACAGAAGGACGGAAAGACCCCGUGGACCUUUACUAUAGCUUGAUAUUGGUGUUUGAUUUGCGUUGUGUAGGAUAGGUGGGAGACUAGGAAGUCGGAGCGCUAGCUUCGGUGGAGUCAACCUUGAAAUACCACCCUGCGUACGUUGACCAUCUAACCUUGGACCGUGAUCCGGUUCGGGGACAGUGUCAGGUGGGUAGUUUGACUGGGGCGGUCGCCUCCUAAAGAGUAACGGAGGCGUUCAAAGGUUCCCUCAGACUGGUUGGCAAUCAGUCUUCGAGUGCAAUGGCAUAAGGGAGCUUGACUGCGAGACCUACAAGUCGAGCAGGUACGAAAGUAGGACAUAGUGAUCCGGCGGUUGCGUGUGGAAGCGCCGUCGCUCAACGGAUAAAAGGUACCCCGGGGAUAACAGGCUAAUCUUUCCCAAGAGUCCAUAUCGACGGAAAGGUUUGGCACCUCGAUGUCGGCUCAUCGCAUCCUGGGGCUGAAGCAGGUCCCAAGGGUUGGGCUGUUCGCCCAUUAAAGCGGUACGCGAGCUGGGUUUAGAACGUCGUGAGACAGUUCGGUCCCUAUCCUCUGUAGCCGGAAGAGAUUUGAGGAAAGCUGCCCCUAGUACGAGAGGACCGGGGUGGACGAAGCUCUCGUGUGCCAGUUGUCCUGCCAAGGGCAUGGCUGGUUGGCGACCUUCGGACGGGAUAACCGCUGAAAGCAUCUAAGUGGGAAGCCCAUUCCAAGAUGAGAUCUCUCACUGGGUUAACCAGGUAAGGCCCGUGGAAGAACACCACGUUGAUAGGCCGGAAGUGUACGCACGGUAACGUGUUUAGCUGACCGGUACUAAUCGGCCGAGGGCUUGAUUAA
This 3068-nucleotide ribosomal RNA is filed under the name bacterium. Its description in RNAcentral is "23S ribosomal RNA". It matches the Rfam family "Bacterial large subunit ribosomal RNA". RNAcentral also lists the same sequence under 1 other name. The record is from RNAcentral.